RNAcentral lists this transfer RNA (65 nucleotides) under Zyginella minuta. Its description in RNAcentral is "tRNA-Val". Lineage: Eukaryota; Metazoa; Arthropoda; Insecta; Hemiptera; Cicadellidae. The record is from RNAcentral.
CAGAAUGUAUCUUAUAUUAAAGUCAAUUAUUUACAUUAAUUUUAAAACAUUUAUGUUCUUUCUGA